Molecule: ribosomal RNA, 496 nt
Filed under: uncultured bacterium
Lineage: Bacteria
Description: partial 16S ribosomal RNA
Rfam family: Bacterial small subunit ribosomal RNA
Source: RNAcentral
GAUGAACGCUGUGGCGUGCCUAAUACAUGCAAGUCGAGCGAACAGAUAAGGAGCUUGCUCCUUUGACGUUAGCGGCGGACGGGUGAGUAACACGUGGGUAACCUACCUAUAAGACUGGGAUAACUUCGGGAAACCGGAGCUAAUACCGGAUAACAUUUGGAACCGCAUGGUUCUAAAGAGAAAGAUGGUUUUGCUAUCACUUAUAGAUGGACCCGCGCCGUAUUAGCUAGUUGGUAAGGUAACGGCUUACCAAGGCAACGAUACGUAGCCGACCUGAGAGGGUGAUCGGCCACACUGGAACUGAGACACGGUCCAGACUCCUACGGGAGGCAGCAGUAGGGAAUCUUCCGCAAUGGGCGAAAGCCUGACGGAGCAACGCCGCGUGAGUGAUGAAGGGUUUCGGCUCGUAAAACUCUGUUAUUAGGGAAGAACAAAUGUGUAAGUAACUGUGCACGUCUUGACGGUACCUAAUCAGAAAGCCACGGCUAACUACGUG